GGAGCAGGCCGGGCAGCCGCUGCGGGCCCCGAGCGUACGGCGGGAUGCCCCGCAGAGGAAAGUCCGGGCACCACAGGGCAGGGCGCUGGGUAAUGCCCAGUGGGGGCGACCCCGAGGACAGUGCCACAGAAACAUACCGCCGGCCGAUCGGGCCGGUAAGGGUGCAAUCGUGCGGUAAGAGCGCACGGCGCGCCGGGUGACCGGCGCGCGGGCAAACCCCGCCCGGUGCAAGGCCACGUAGGGGGAGAUGAGGCGGCCCGCCGCAUCCCCGGGUAGGCUGCUGGAGACGCCUGGCAACAGGCGCCG
This 306-nucleotide RNase P RNA is filed under the name Bacillota bacterium. Its description in RNAcentral is "Firmicutes bacterium (sediment metagenome) partial RNase P RNA component class A". It matches the Rfam family "Bacterial RNase P class A", at positions 1 to 304 of the family's 367-position model. From Rfam's summary of the family: Ribonuclease P (RNase P) is a ubiquitous endoribonuclease, found in archaea, bacteria and eukarya as well as chloroplasts and mitochondria. Its best characterised activity is the generation of mature 5'-ends of tRNAs by cleaving the 5'-leader elements of precursor-tRNAs. The record is from RNAcentral. Lineage: Bacteria; Bacillati; Bacillota.